RNAcentral lists this ribosomal RNA (305 nucleotides) under uncultured bacterium. RNAcentral describes it as "bacterial SSU rRNA". It matches the Rfam family "Bacterial small subunit ribosomal RNA", at positions 334 to 653 of the family's 1533-position model. The record is from RNAcentral.
UGUUCCUACGGGGGGCAGCAGUGGGGAAUAUUGCACAAUGGGGGAAACCCUGAUGCAGCGACGCCGCGUGAGUGAAGAAGUAAUUCGUUACGUAAAGCUCUAUCAGCAGGGAAGAAAGAAACGACGGUACCUGACCAAGAAGCCCCGGCUAACUACGUGCCAGCAGCCGCGGUAAUACGUAGGGGGCAAGCGUUAUCCGGAAUUACUGGGUGUAAAGGGAGCGUAGACGGUUAAGUAAGUCUGGAGUGAAAGGCCGGGGCCCAACCCCGGGACUGCUCUGGAAACUAUUGAACUUGAGUGCAGGG